Molecule: transfer RNA, 71 nt
Filed under: Bacteroides fragilis
Lineage: Bacteria; Pseudomonadati; Bacteroidota; Bacteroidia; Bacteroidales; Bacteroidaceae
Also listed under: 1 other name
Description: tRNA-OTHER
Rfam family: tRNA
About the family: Transfer RNA (tRNA) molecules are approximately 80 nucleotides in length.
Source: RNAcentral
GGCGGGAAAGGAGCAAACGGAGGCUCGCCGAGUUAUCUCGGAGGACGAGGGUUCGAUUCCCUCUCCCGCCC